This 29-nucleotide small RNA is filed under the name Bombyx mori (domestic silkworm). RNAcentral's name for it is "ovarian small RNA-2622". Lineage: Eukaryota; Metazoa; Arthropoda; Insecta; Lepidoptera; Bombycidae. The record is from RNAcentral.
CGACGAGGGCCACUCCCGCUGUGGCGAGA